Molecule: long non-coding RNA, 838 nt
Filed under: Pan troglodytes (chimpanzee)
Lineage: Eukaryota; Metazoa; Chordata; Mammalia; Primates; Hominidae
Description: long non-coding RNA NONPTRT004480
Source: RNAcentral
UCUAUAUUUAUGUUCUAGGUACUGGGGACACACAGAUGGAAUUAAGCAAGGCUAGAAAACGUAUUAUCUUUGAAGACAGCUAAAGGAGCAGCCCAGUGGUUUUCAAGAAGUGCUAAAGUGCACUGACUGUCUCAUGAUGACUGGUGCCUCAGGGAGGGUCAUGAUUCCUGGAUACAGGAUCGACCUGAUCCUGGAUGUCACUUCAAGCAGUCAGAUCGUGGGGAAAAGCCUUGUCUAAUGGCUAGCCUUCCUCAAAAGUCUGAUGCUAGUCAUCUCGGAAGGCCUCAGAAAAAGCCUUAAAGCUUCAUUUACCUCUUAAUUCUCCUUUGCCUGGAAGUGAAUUGACCAAGGAACCUUUUCGUUGGGAUCAGAGACUCUUUGCAUUAGUGUUGCGGUUGCCUGGCACCAUGUCAGUAGAAUCAGAACAGUUGACAGGUGUGCCUUUAGAUGACUCUGCAAUCACACCAAUGUGUGAAGUGACAGGCGGCCGUUCAUAUUCUGUGUGUUCUCCAAGAAUGCUUAAUCAGUGUCUGGAGUCCUUGGUGCAGAAAGUACAAAGUGGGGUGGUAAUAAACUUUGAAAAAGCAGGACCAGAUCCUUCCCCUGUAGAAGGUAUUAUUGCACUUUUCUUUUAGACAUUCAAAACUUGCUUUAUUGUUUAUUCAACUAGAACUGAAAACUUACUGUGAUUUGGCCUUAAGAUAGGCAGGGCCAAAUUGUUAAGACAGAAAGGCUGUUGGUAAAGAGGGAAGAUUAAAUAGGAAAGUCAAGGUAAACUAACAGUAGUCUAGUAGCAUCACCUUUUUGUAUUAAUGAUUGUCUAUUGCCUGACAUUUUG